AUAACAGAUGACCCUUGGCGGAAUCCCCGAUUACUGCGCUGCGUACCGAAGCAAUGGGUCUUAGACCGCGGAUCACUAUAUUAUAGGAAUGAAUUUAGUGAGCAGUCAGUAACUCUUUACACUCUUGGUCGUUGUUGACCUGUGGCACUCGGAGACGUUCCUUUUUUCUUUUGGACUUGUAAAUAUUAAAAAAUUCUUCAAUUUUUUUGUACGGGGGCCUUUGUAUUUCAUAAUGCUAGCCGCUUCAAAAAACUGAUCCUUGGACUUAUGGUGUACCAGGCCGACACUGCUCGCGGUGAGUUACGGGAACACUUUCAGAACAGAACCGAACAAUUACAGCCCACUUGAUAGCCGAACAGCUAGUCGGAACAACUAAAUGCAAUUGGCCCGGACCUGGACAUUUCGCCGCCGGACGUUUGGCCGCCACAUUUUCGGUAGUGAUAUGCUUUUGAAUGAUAAGAGUGGUUAUACUAUGGUCACGAUUAUAAAGAAUCUUUAUAAUCGUGACUAUAAUGGUAUAACAGCCGUUACACUGUGACCAACUUUAGGUGGUGUUGCAGAGCAAGUCGAGUGAUAUUUUCGAUUUGCGGAGCGGAGCGACGGCGCCGAGGAGCGUAGCGACGAGUGCCGCUAUCGAGGCAUCACUGUAAAUUAUUUCGUAUUGGUGGUGUCGCUGCUGGAUCUCUAUUAUAUUCUGGUACGAGUUGUGGUGGUAUAUUUAACUACGAAACGUCCGGUGGCGAAGUGUCCUAGACCCUAGUUGGCCGGCUUCAGUUCAUGACUUGACAGUGUUCGAUUAUAGAAAUCAAGAGCACAUUAUCAGAAUAUCGAAUUUUGAGAAGUUCCACUUUUAGUCGAUUGAGCCAUGGAGAUCUCUUGCUAACUAUCAUCGGAGCAGAAAUACGUAAGAAAUAAUAAUAAAAAAAAAUAAAUAAAUUGAAAUGUAUCAGAACGAUCAAAAUACAAAAUAGUUCUUGAGAAAAAGUCUGUUCCCUACUCUAUUAUCUAUUGGUAUUCGGAUCUAAAUACCUGGAACGACUGCCUACGAUCAUCACCUAUUACAACAACAGUAUUACAAUAAUAUGUUAACAAAUCUAAUGCCUUUUAAAUUACUUGUUCCUUAUGGAAAUUUGCAUCGACAAAUUUUUACUUUGACAUGUAGUUAUCACAAGGUCUCGGAUUGGACACACCCAUCUUGCACCUUAUAACUAAAGAAGACUGCCUGACCUGUGAACUCUGAGACAAAGAACUGACGAUCAAACGCAUCACACUAGAAUGCUUCAAGUUUAACAUCUCCAGACAAAUCCUCGGAAAUCAUCGAUGAAAGCACUUUGAAGAAGAGAACUCCAAAUAUAUAUGCAAUUUCUUCACAAACAUAGGCUUAGCAAAAUUUAUGUAGUAUAAAAAAAAAUGUUCAUAAUAUACUUCACAUGUCUCCCUAUAAGAUUAAUACUUUAUAAUUUAUCAUAGGCUAAUGAGGCUAAUCUCAGGAGAUGUUGAAUCCUUUUAACCUAAUAAAAAAAAUUCAAUUGUAUCA
Molecule: long non-coding RNA, 1537 nt
Organism: Myzus persicae (green peach aphid)
Lineage: Eukaryota; Metazoa; Arthropoda; Insecta; Hemiptera; Aphididae
Exons: 5
Source: RefSeq, a predicted model, not a curated record